AUACUAUAUGGUUUUACCUGCCCAAUGUUACGAUGAAUGGCCGCGGUACCCUGACCGUGCUAAGGUAGCGUAAUCAGUUGACCUUUAAAUGAGGUCAGGAAUGAAUGGAAUAACCGGGUUUAGCUGUCUCCAAAUCAUUAUAUUGAAUUUACUAUCUAAGUGAAAAAGCUUAGGACUUAAAAAAGGAGGAGAAGACCCUUAGAAUUUUUUUAAAAAGGAUUUUAAUUUCCUUACAGUUUUAUUGGGGCGAUAAAGAAAUAAUUAAAACUUUCUUUUUUAACAAGCCGAUUGUAUUAAGUAAGAAUAAAUUACCUGAGGGAUAACAGCAUAAUUCUACAAUUGAGUUUGUGACCUCGAUGUUGGACUAGGAAACCAGUAGGCUAGCCGUUUACUGUGUUAGGUUCUGUUCGAACUUUUAUUCCU
RNAcentral lists this ribosomal RNA (423 nucleotides) under Spurilla sargassicola. RNAcentral describes it as "partial 16S ribosomal RNA". It matches the Rfam family "Bacterial large subunit ribosomal RNA", at positions 1840 to 2597 of the family's 2925-position model. Lineage: Eukaryota; Metazoa; Mollusca; Gastropoda; Nudibranchia; Aeolidiidae. The record is from RNAcentral.